RNAcentral lists this ribosomal RNA (377 nucleotides) under uncultured bacterium. Its description in RNAcentral is "bacterial SSU rRNA". It matches the Rfam family "Bacterial small subunit ribosomal RNA", at positions 521 to 896 of the family's 1533-position model. The record is from RNAcentral.
UAAUACGUACGAGGCGAGCGUUAUCCGGAAUUAUUGGGCGUAAAGCGCGCGCAGGCGGAUAUUUAAGUCGGUCGUGAAAUCUCCCGGCCCAACUGGGAGGGGUCGUCCGAGACUGGGUGUCUUGAGGACAGCAGAGGUUGGUGGAAUUCCUGGUGUAGUGGUGAAAUGCGUAGAGAUCAGGAGGAACACCGGUGGCGAAGGCGGCCAACUGGGCUGUCACUGACGCUGAGGCGCGAAAGCUCGGGGAGCGAACGGGAUUAGAUACCCCGGUAGUCCGAGCCGUAAACGAUGGGUACUAGGUGUUCGUGGUAUCGACCCCACGGGUGCCGGAGCUAACGCGAUAAGUACCCCGCCUGGGGAGUACGGCCGCAAGGUUA